UACGAAGGGGGCUAGCGUUGUUCGGAAUUACUGGGCGUAAAGCGCGCGCAGGCGGUCUUCCAAGUCAGUGGUGAAAGCCCGGAGCUCAACUCCGGAACUGCCAUUGAAACUGUUGGACUUGAGUACGAGGGAGGUGAGUGGAAUUCCCAGUGUAGAGGUGAAAUUCGUAGAUAUUGGGAAGAACACCGGUGGCGAAGGCGGCUCACUGGCUCGUAACUGACGCUCAGGCGCGACAGCGUGGGGAUCAAACAGG
Molecule: ribosomal RNA, 253 nt
Filed under: uncultured bacterium
Lineage: Bacteria
Description: partial 16S ribosomal RNA
Rfam family: Bacterial small subunit ribosomal RNA
Source: RNAcentral